GGUCGAUUAGCUCAGUUGGUUAGAGCGUGGUAAGUUGAUAACGCCAAGGUCGAGGGUUCGACCCCCUCAUUGACCA
Molecule: transfer RNA, 76 nt
Filed under: Umbilicaria muhlenbergii
Lineage: Eukaryota; Fungi; Ascomycota; Lecanoromycetes; Umbilicariales; Umbilicariaceae
Description: tRNA-Ile (GAT) (tRNA-Ile-GAT-1-1)
Rfam family: tRNA
About the family: Transfer RNA (tRNA) molecules are approximately 80 nucleotides in length. Their secondary structure includes four short double-helical elements and three loops (D, anti-codon, and T loops). Further hydrogen bonds mediate the characteristic L-shaped molecular structure. tRNAs have two regions of fundamental functional importance: the anti-codon, which is responsible for specific mRNA codon recognition, and the 3' end, to which the tRNAs corresponding amino acid is attached (by aminoacyl-tRNA synthetases). tRNAs cope with the degeneracy of the genetic code in two manners: having more than one tRNA (with a specific anti-codon) for a particular amino acid; and 'wobble' base-pairing, i.e. permitting non-standard base-pairing at the 3rd anti-codon position.
Source: RNAcentral